This is a long non-coding RNA of Dama dama (fallow deer), 3935 nucleotides long. RefSeq lists it as uncharacterized. The record is from RefSeq and is a predicted model, not a curated record. Lineage: Eukaryota; Metazoa; Chordata; Mammalia; Artiodactyla; Cervidae. The transcript has 4 exons.
CGUUCCUUAUGUGUCCAUGUUACUGAUGAGAAAUUACUUUGUAAAGAAUAGCACCAGCCUCAGUCACAGGAGAGAAAGCAUAGUGCAUGUGCUACAAGAGGGAGAGAACCAGCCUGGAGGUCUGCUCUGUGUGUGUGUGUGUGUGUGUGUGUGUGUGUGCAAACAGCAGGGCUGAACCCUCCAGUCACAUUGCUUACCUGCAGUGAGCAAAACAUCAGAGCUGCAGCUUCGUACGUACUGGGAAACUCGCAGGGCAGUCUGAGAUCGUUUCUGAUAAUGACUGUGGUUUUGUGUUCUCCGAACCGCUCUGUACCAGGGAAGUCACAGCCACGCUCAGCGAUUUCCUUGGUUGCUGAGCAGGUGGGAUGUGUGAUUUCUCUUCGUAAACAGACUUGAGCACGGCUCAGCCUUCCAGCCUCACUGUUUUGGCCUAAACAACGGCAGCACAGCACUAGGAACCUGGCUUCUUUGUUCAGUUUUGUUUUGAAACCUAAAUGCAGCCUUGAGAAGCCGCGAAAGUCAUUUCACCGCAGAAGCCCCUUUCCAUCAAAUGUUAGAAUCCUGCUGUGAACUGGCCCCAGACACAUGCCGAACGAACAAUUCUCAAACCGACUGCCUCAAGUCCUUGCUCUGCAUGAGGCCCAGCACCUGGCCUACAAUCUUAAAAGAACUUUAAUACUCAAUUUUUUUUUUAAUGCUGUCGAGAUGGUCUGCAGAGAAGAACGGCAAGGGUCACCAAAUGCACCUCCUGGCUCUACAAAAGCCGGACGCGGCGGACAGAAGCGGCCCCUGUAAACGGGCAGGAGAGAGAGCAGCGCAGGCCCCGUGUCCUUGGGUAUUUAAAGGUCCUGCUGGUGCAGCGCCAGUGGCAUUAGUUCACCGGCUUCAGCGAUCAAGGCUGUUUCAUCAUCCAGGCUGAAAUAUUUGUGUCACUGGUGAAUCUGGGCAAAGGCCGAGACCCUGUCUGCUCAGUUUACAGUCUCUAGGACGGCCUGACACACAGGUGCACAGACACAAAUAGCAGCCAGAAGACUCUAGAAAUUCACUGGCCCGGCUCCUUCGUGUUCCAGAGACUCAGAGGUUCGGGAGCUGCCCAAGCCCCCUCCCCACGUCCAGCCAGUUACCAGAUGACAUCCACCCAGACUUCAAAGUGUGGAAUGUGACUUGCACGGGUGACCACUCACGGCACACAAGUAGAGCCCGGGAACUGCUCCAUCUUCCAGCGGUCUCCUGACCGGUCUCUCUCGGUCAGUCUGGGCCACCUCCAGUUCGUCAGCAUUCCUACCAGGCUCAUUUCUCAAGAACUCUGCAGCGGACACCCUUGCUAUGACCUUCUCUCAUCCCAAGGACAAAAUCCUAAGGCCCCAUCUACACUCACUUGCAGGCACGUCUACUAGUGAAGCACCCUGGCACCCACCUGGGCCUUUGUCUUGGCGAUUUCCUCUCCCUGGAAUGUCCUUCCCUUUCAAGUAGCAGCUCUCUACCCUUCGUCCACACUCAGUUCAAACACCACCCCCUCUAACUUUCUCUGAGGCCCUGCUGUGCUGGGCCUGGCAGCCCCACCCCCUGGCGGUGCUUAGCGACCUUCUUGCAUAAGGCUGAGGUCCUGGGGAGUGGGCGUGUCUUACCCCACUCUGCGGCCUGCUUAGCACAAGCUCUGUGGUUGGAUGGUUCUCUCCCUCCUAUGGCAUCUGUGGUCAGUAGUGAGUCUCAGGUAAUUUAGGAUUUGAGAUACUGUCCUACAUUGUUUACCAUGUCACAGGUUCUCCAUUCAAGAAGCAUGCCUUGUGCACAAAGGAGGACCAGGGUGGGAAAGAGUUCCACUGGACUAGAAGCGGAAGGUCUGUUGGGGUGGGAGGGGCAUAAAAUUAAACUGUGAUACGUACAAAACCCCUGAAGGGUUUUGGUCUCCAAAAGUAGUGAAAUAGGGCUGGCUGGUCGGACAGCGAAGUGCUUCUGUCCUUUGCUGCCUCUGAUGGUGUAUCUAGCAUUUGCAGAAAUGCUUUAUGGACGCUGGCUAGCUGAGUUCUUAAGCCCAGCACGGGAUUCGCAGUUUAGAAAAACCCAACUUUAUGCCAACAUAAUUCAAUACGUCACCACCUAAUUAAACACAGUAUUUUUAAGGGGCUCAUCCUGGACUAAUACGAGAUAUAUAACAGGAAUAAAAUAACACUGCUUUUCUGGCAUUAAUGAGGGAAUUAUGCCUCUGAAAUUUAUCUUUUAACCCAACCCACUUAGACUAUGCCUUCCCUGAUGGCUCAGACAGUAAAGCAUCUGCCUACAAUGUGGGAGACCCAGAUUCAAGCCCUGAGUUGGGAAGAUCUCCUGGAGAAGGAAAUGGCAACCCACUCCAGUAUUCUUGCCUGGAAAAUCCUAUGGAUGGAGAAGCCUGGUGGGCUACAGUCCAUGGGGUUGCAAAGAUUCAGACAUGACUGAGCGAUUUCACUUAGAUCAGGAGUCUGUAUACUUUUUGUUGGCAAUUUAACAUACACUAUGUUUCCUUGACUUCUUAACCAAAGCACACAGAAUACCAUUUUCUUGUCUGAGUGACUUGGAAUUACUACACAGGGGCUCUAAUGCUCAAGGAAUUGUGACACCUGAGGACCAUGAACCUCCACUUACACCCAAUGCUCCCAGAAUCAGUUCAGUUCAGUUCAGUCACUCAGUCGUGUCCAACUCUUUGCGACCCCAUGAAUCACAGCACGCCAGGCCUCCCUGUCCAUCACCAACUCCCGGAGUUUACUCAAACUCAUGCCCAUCGAGUCGGUGAUGCCAUCCAGCCAUCUCAUCCUCUGUCGUCCCCUUCUCCUCCUGCCCCCAAUCCCUCCCAGCAUCAGGGUCUUUUCCAAUGAGUCAACUCUUCGCAUGAGGUGGCCAAAGUAUUGGAGUUUCAGCUUCAGUAUCAGUCCUUCCAAUGAACACCCAGGACUGAUCUCCUUUAGGAUGGACUGGUUGGAUCUCCUUGCAGUCCAAGGGACUCUCAAGAGUCUUCUCCAACACCACAGUUCAAAAGCAUCAAUUUUUCGGUGCUCAGCUUUCUUCACAGUCCAACUCUCACAUCCAUACAUGACCACUGGAAAAACCAUAGCCUUGACCAGACGGACCUUUGUUGGCAAAGUAAUAUCUCUGCUUUUUAAUAUGCCAUCUAGGUUGGUCAUAACUUUCCUUCUUAGGAGUAAGCGUCUUUUAAUGUCAUGGCAGCAAUCACCAUCUGCAGUGAUUUUGGAGCCCCCAAAAUAAAGUCUGACACUGUUUCCACUGUCUCCCCAUCUAUUUCCCAUGAGGUGAUGGGACCAGAUGCCAUGAUCUUAGUUUUCUGAAUGUUGAGCUUUAAACCAGCUUUUUCACUCUCCUCUUUCACUUUCAUCAAGAGGCUUUUUAGUUCCUCUUCACUUUCUGCCAUAAGGGUGGUGUCAUCUGCAUAUCUGAGGUUAUUGAUAUUUCUCCCGGCAAUCUUGAUUCCAGCUUGUGCUUCUUCCAGCCCAGCGUUUCUCAUGAUGUACUCUGCAUAUAAGUUAACUAAGCAGGGUCACAAUAUACAGCCUUGAUGUACUCCUUUUCCUAUUUGGAACCAGUCUGUUGUUCCAUGUCCAGUUCUCUAACUGUUGCUUCCUGACCUGCAUACAGGUUUCUCAAGAGGCAGGUCAGGUGGUCUGGUAUUCCCAUCUCUUGAAGAAUUUUCCACCGUUUAUUGUGAUCCACACAGUCGAAGGUUUUGGCGAACAAAGCUAGUGGAUGUAAUGGAAUUCAAGUUGAGCUAUUUCAAAUCCUGAAAGAUGAUGCUGUUAAAAUGCUGCACUCAAUAUGCCAGCAAAUUUGGAAAACUCAGCAGUGGCCACAGGACUGGAAAAGACAAUGACAUGGCACAGCCAUCAUCGCCGUGGCAACAGCACUGGGAACUAUCAGAGGAAAAUUGCACAUGGCCCUGCCGGCCC